GGAGAGUUGUCCGAGUGGUUGAAGGUGCGACUCUCGAAAAGUCGUGUGCCGCAAGGCACCUAGGGUUCGAAUCCCUAACUCUCCGCCA
RNAcentral lists this transfer RNA (88 nucleotides) under Clostridiales bacterium. RNAcentral's name for it is "tRNA-Ser". It matches the Rfam family "tRNA". From Rfam's summary of the family: Transfer RNA (tRNA) molecules are approximately 80 nucleotides in length. Their secondary structure includes four short double-helical elements and three loops (D, anti-codon, and T loops). The record is from RNAcentral. Lineage: Bacteria; Bacillati; Bacillota; Clostridia; Eubacteriales. RNAcentral also lists the same sequence under 1 other name.